AUGCUGUCUUUAGAGCUGCAGCCUGUAAUCUUACACUUUUAAUGUUGUACAAAAGCGAAAAAUAUAAACAAUGUGCAAAAUAUUAGAUACUGAAAACUAAGAGUAAAAGUCUUUAUAUUAUCACCGAAUACAUUUACAAAACGUGAAGGCUUCUAAAAUCAGGGUUCUGACCUCGUUUGUGAUCGUUCAAAAACACUUCCACGUCAAGCAGAUCAGGGUUCUAGGAACUCACGCAGAGUAUCGCGACACUUCACGAGAUCACGCUCUGGAAGCAGGUGAUUUGUUAUUUCAAAGUUUGAAACCUGCAACGAGGAUCUUCAGCGUCAAAUUCUCACCGUUUACAAGGAUUAUGGAGCCUUAAAACUCCAACCAUUACUGUUGCAACAAAAAUGAAGAGCAACAUCAGAGCAAUCAGCCGUCCAGCUUUGACUAGAUUCCAGCUCAAAACAAAGACAUUGGAUGCAUCAGAAUGGGGCGGAGCAUGGAGUUUGUGACCCCGCCCAGUUAUUUUCGUUUAGGCUGAUCCUGAUUCGACCCGUCAAAAGAUUUGAACGAACUGCCAAACGUCCGGCCGACAGCAUCACAGCUGAAGCCCGUUUGCGAUGAAGAUGGUCUCCUCAGCAGAAUUUGGUCUGUUGCUGCGGGGAACUGCCCCGCGCACAGUCACCGCCAUCCGCGCAGAGAAGAUGAGCAGAUCGAUGCCAUCCAUUUGUCAGCGCCAUGACCGCUCUGAGUAACAAACUUUUGAGAGGAUUCUCAUCUCUGGGCUGACCUCACCUCCGUGUGUAGGUGCAUCAAUGUGCUUCACUUUCAUCUUGUUAUUUUUUAGAAAAAUGGGGAAAACAAAAUACUUGAUGUAAUUCUAAAAAGGUUAAAAGGUUGUUUUUCAAAAUAAAGCUACAUGUUUUCCAAGAAAAAUCUUGCAUUUUUCACUUAGAU
This 939-nucleotide long non-coding RNA is filed under the name Oryzias javanicus (javanese ricefish). RNAcentral describes it as "lncRNA (ENSOJAG00000021523.1)". Lineage: Eukaryota; Metazoa; Chordata; Actinopteri; Beloniformes; Adrianichthyidae. The record is from RNAcentral.